Molecule: transfer RNA, 75 nt
Filed under: Pseudomonadales bacterium
Lineage: Bacteria; Pseudomonadati; Pseudomonadota; Gammaproteobacteria; Pseudomonadales
Also listed under: 5 other names
Description: tRNA-Val
Rfam family: tRNA
About the family: Transfer RNA (tRNA) molecules are approximately 80 nucleotides in length. Their secondary structure includes four short double-helical elements and three loops (D, anti-codon, and T loops). Further hydrogen bonds mediate the characteristic L-shaped molecular structure. tRNAs have two regions of fundamental functional importance: the anti-codon, which is responsible for specific mRNA codon recognition, and the 3' end, to which the tRNAs corresponding amino acid is attached (by aminoacyl-tRNA synthetases). tRNAs cope with the degeneracy of the genetic code in two manners: having more than one tRNA (with a specific anti-codon) for a particular amino acid; and 'wobble' base-pairing, i.e. permitting non-standard base-pairing at the 3rd anti-codon position.
Source: RNAcentral
GGUCGCGUAACUCAGUGGUAGAGUGCUUCCUUGACAUGGAAGUGGUCGUUGGUUCAAGUCCAAUCGUGACCACCA